GUGAUAGUUUUGAAAGAAUUGUUUGUAUUGAAAAUGUGUAAGGUUACAAGAAAGAGAACUUAUACAAGUGGAGAAGGAUGUCGUGAGUCACCCGAUGAACAUCACACACCAUGCUUCACACACUAAUAUUCUAACACCCAUACUUUACACAUUAAUAUUCUAACACCCAUACUUUACACAUUAACCCAUACCUAUAACCCAUACUUUGGAUAUUAGAUAUUCUACCCAUACCUAUAACCCAUACUUUGGAUAUUAAAUAAUCUAACACUCCCCCUCAAACGAAGGCUAGUAUAUUCAUCAAGCCAAGUUGGACCAAAAGAGUGUUGAAUUGAACCCGAGACAAUCCUUUGGUGAAGAUGUCUGCUAGUUGAUCUGUGCUCCGAACAAAAACAGGUUGAAUGACAUCAGAUUGGGUUUUUUCUCGAACAAAAUGACAGUCCAUUUCAAUGUGUUUGGUUCUUUCAUGAAAUACAGGAUUAGAUGCAAUGUAAAUAGCAGCUUGGUUAUCACAGAAAAGAGGCAUAGGCAGUGUUCUCUUGAACCCUAAGUCGUUGAGCAAACCUUGCAGCCAAAUUAACUCACAGGUAGUAGAUGCCAUGGCACGAUAUUCAGCUUCUGCACUUGAUCGAGCCACCACACUUUGUUUUUUGCUUUUCCAUGUCACCAGAUUUCCACCAACAAAUGUACAAUAUCCAGUAGUAGAUCUUCGAUCAAUUUUGGAGCCACCCCAGUCUGCAUCUGUGUAGCCAACAAUGUGAGCAUUUCCGAUCUUCCUCAUCACAAUCCCAGUUCCAACAGUGCCUUUCAAGUAGCGCAAGAUCCUUCGAACAGCUUGUAAGUGAAUUGAUCGAGGAGCAUGCAUGAACUGACUGACUAGGCUCACGGCAUGCAUGAUAUCAGGACGAGUAAUGGUAAGGUAAAUAAGUUUCCCUACCAAUCUCUGGUAUAAACCAACGUCUAUCAGUAAAUCUCCAUCUAAUCCAAGUUUCUCUUUGCAAGCUAUUGGGGUUGCCACUGGUUUUGCCUCAAGCAUUUUGGACUCUUGAAGUAAAUCAAGUAUGUACUUGCGUUGGUUCAAGAGCAAGCCUUUACUAGAUGAAGCAACUUCAAUGCCUAGAAAAUACUUCAGAGUUCCUAGAUCUUUAAUUGCAAACUUUUUGUGAAGAAAGCCCUUAAGUCGCUGAAUUUCUGUCAAACUAUCACCAGUCACAAUGAGAUCAUCGACAUAGAUGAGAACGACAAGUUUACCUGCUGAACUAUCUCGCACAAAUAGUGAGGAAUCUGCAUUGCUCCUUUUAAAACCAAUGUUCUCUAACACAGAACUUAACUUGGCAUACCAAGCUCGAGGAGAUUGUUUGAGGCCAUAAAUGGCCUUGUGUAACUUGCAAACCAUGCCUCUUCUUCUUGUGGAUGUCCCGGAGGCAACUGCAUGUACACAUCUUCUUUAAGUUCUCCAUGCAGGAAGGCAUUCUUUAACAUCCAUUUGGUAUAGGGGCCAAUCAUGGUUGACAGCAACCGAGAGAAGCACUCUUACCGAGUUCAUCUUUGCCACAGGAGCAAAGGUUUCCUUGUAAUCAAUGCCAUAAGUUUGAGUAAAACCUCUAGCCACCAAUCUAGCUUUGUGUCUCUCCACUGAACCAUCACUCUUAAAUUUGGUUUUAUACACCCAUCGACACCCCACAGCUCUCAUCCCCUUAGGUAGCUUGGUGAUGCUCCAAGUUUUGUUUUCAUUUAGAGCUCUAAGCUCCUCAUCCAUAGCUGUUUGCCAGAUCAAUUGAGAGUUAGCUUCUUGGAAUGAGCUUGGUUCAGAUGAGGCUGAAAUUUUGCUUAGGAAAGCAGCAUGAGACGAAGAUACUCUUGAGUAUUCAAGAUAUUUUUCUAUAGGAUGUCUUGAGGCAUAACUUACAUAAUCUUUAAACCAAGUUGGCUUACCCCGAUUUCUACUAGGGUUUCUCCUUGGAGUGAUCACUUCAGGAGUAAUAGCAAGGUUCUCCUCGGACGAAAUUUGAUUUUGUUCAGUGUCUUCAGUUGAUUCAUUAUCAACAAGUAUGUCAGAUGAUGAAUUACACUCAACUGGAUCAAUCGAAAUUUCAUUGUUGCUUGGUUGAUCUGGAGCUGAAAAAUGAUGAGGCAGUGCAUUGAUUUCCAUAAUUGGCGUGAGGAUUUGAUCAAGAAAGUCCUCCUCCCCAGAAGAUCUUCACCCCUGGUACUAGCAAAAAAAGGAGUUUUCUCGUCAAAAAACCACAUCUCUAGACACCAAAAGUUUCCUGCGCUUUGGGUCAUAGCACUUAUAUCCCUUUUGAACAGAUGAGUACCCUAAGAACAAACACCUUACAGCUCUAGGGUCCAAUUUAUCUCGAUGCAAGGUUUGAAUAUGAACAAAGCAAACACAUCCAAACACUCGAAGGUGAGACAAGUUAAUUUUCCUGCCAUUAAGUGUUUCAAGAGGUGCCUUGAAUUUGAGAACCUUGCUUGGAAGCCUAUUAAUUACAUAUGCAGCAGUAAGAACCCCAUGAGACCAGAAUUUCUUAGGUACACUCAUUUGAAGCAUAAGUGAUCGAGUUUUCUCCAGUAGAUCACGGUUUCUUCCUUUCUGCUACUCCGUUUUGUUGCGGAGUACCAACACAGCUCGUUUGGUGAAUUAUUCCAUGACAAGUUAGAUAUUGAGUAAAAGCAUUAGACAUAUACUCAGUACCAUUGUCUGACCUUAAGACUUUAAGUUGGGUUGAGAACUGAUUUGUAACAAGACUGUGAAAUUCUUGGAACACAUUAAUAACUUCAUCUUUUGAUUUCAACAAAUACAACCAGGUACAUCUUGAGAAAUCAUCCACAAAGGUGACAAAGUAUCUAAAACCAUCAAAAGAAACCAAGGGUGCAGGUCCCCAAACAUCAGAGUGCACAAUCUCAAAAGGUUUACAUGACUUGGUUGAUGAGACAUCAAAAGGCAACCUCGUCUGUUUUUGAAAAAAUGGCAAACUUCACAAUCUUGAGUCAUCACAUUCUCUGAAGUUUUGAAGAGAUGUGAUUGCACAAGAUUAGAGGGAUGCCCUAAUCGUCUAUGCCAUAAUAGAUGAUUCUUCAAAAAACCAACUUGAAGACCUCUAGCUUCAACAGGUUGCAAUGAAAGCAUAUAGAGGCCAUCUUUAUACAUGCCUUCACCAAUCUUCUUCUUCGUGAUACGAUCCUGGAAAAUCACAUUGAAUGGCGAGAAUAUAACAUCACAGUUUAAGGAAUUUGUCAACCUUCCUACUGACAGAAGCUGAAAUGGAAAGGAGGGCACAUAUAGAGCAGUUGAUUCAACAUUAGUAUCAAUUAACUUGACUUUCCCUUCACCCAAAACUGAUACACCAGUUCCAUUAGCAACAGAGACAAAUUGCGGAAUAACUGCCUCUUUAAAGUCAUGCAUAUAUCUUUUUAUAUUUGUAAUGUGAUCAGUCGCUCCAGAGUCUAUUAUCCAAACAUUUGCAAGUUUUCUGGAAGCAAGUGCAGCACUAAAUGAGUUUAGAAUACCUGACAUAUCAACGGAAGAUGACACCUUUGUCUGAAGAAAUUUUGCGAACUGCUCAAAUAAUUCAGUGGUGCUAGCUUCACUGUUUCCUUUAUGAAGAUUGCUUUCAUCUUUCUUCUGAGUGAAGGAAGUGAACUCACUCAAGAGAGCUGAGGGAUUAGAUGUGAAGUUCCCAACAGUUGAGGCAGUCUGCAAGCGAGGGACUUGAUUUGCACUGCGACCAGGUUUGGUUUGUUUGGAAAAGUUAGGCUUAAGGUGUGGAUACAACACCCAACAAGUGUCUCUGAGAUGAUUCUUCUGUCCACAAUGACUGCAUUGCAUUUCUCCUUUCUUUCCUUUGAAAUUUUUUCCUUCAAACCUUCUGUCACUUGCAACGAAAGCUCUAGACUCAGGAUCACCAACCUUAGUACUCAUAACUUUCCUUCUUGCUUCUUCUCGUUGAACGAUAGUGCACACAGUAUUGAGAGAUGGUAGUUCAACACUCAUCAAUAUGUGGCUUCGCAGGUCCUCAUAGGUAGAGUCAAGACUGGAUAAAAGCUGAAAGACCUUGUCUUCUUCAGCCUGCUUAAGAAGGAUUGCUGGGUCUGUAGUGUGAGGUCGAUAGAGAUUCAGCUCAUUCCACAUAGACUUCAGUCUUCCCAAGUGCUCGAUAAAAGUCUUUCCAUCUUGAUUCAAAACAGAAAGACUCUUCUGCAGCUCAAAUAUCCUGGCUGCAUUAUUUUGAUUUCCAUACAUCUCCUUGACAGCCUUCCACAGAUCAAAAGCUGAUUCUGAAAAGCUGAAAAUUUCUGAUACCUUUGAGCCCAUUGAGUUGAGCAACCAGGACAUGACGAGCUGAUCCUUGCAGAACCAUUCUUCAUACUUAGAAUCACCAACCUUGGGAAGGUACGAUAGUUCCAUUGAUGAAACCAAGCUUAGAUCUUCCUCCAAGAGCUAAAGUAAUAGCUCUUGACCAAGGAAGAUAAUUAAACUCAGUUAGGAGUAUGGAACAAAGACGUUGAUUGGGAUUUCCAUCAGCUUCACUUGAAGAAACUGAUGAAGAACCAAGGAUGUUCUCGGAUGAAGCAGCAAGUAUAUUUUCUUCUUCCAUUUCAAAAGAUUUCAGAGAACAGGUUCUUUAGGAAGCCUGCUCUGAUACCAUGUGAUAGUUUUGAAAGAAUUGUUUGUAUUGAAAAUGUGUAAGGUUACAAGAAAGAGAACUUAUACAAGUGGAGAAGGAUGUCGUGAGUCACCGAUGAACAUCACACACCAUGCUUCACACACUAAUAUUCUAACACCCAUACUUUACACAUUAAUAUUCUAACACCCAUACCUUUACACAUUAACCCAUACCUAUAACCCAUACUUUGGAUAUUAGAUAUUCUACCCAUACCUAUAACCCAUACUUUGGAUAUUAA
This 4905-nucleotide long non-coding RNA is filed under the name Malus domestica (apple). Its description in RNAcentral is "long non-coding RNA (MDOM_LNC011455)". Lineage: Eukaryota; Viridiplantae; Streptophyta; Magnoliopsida; Rosales; Rosaceae. The record is from RNAcentral.